Molecule: long non-coding RNA, 499 nt
Organism: Solanum stenotomum
Lineage: Eukaryota; Viridiplantae; Streptophyta; Magnoliopsida; Solanales; Solanaceae
Exons: 3
Source: RefSeq, a predicted model, not a curated record
UGGUUCUGCCUGUGAACAGAACAACUCGACUCUUGGCCCGAGAGAGAGAUUCAUGAAAGAACUUGGGUCUUGAAUAUCAUUAGAGUCGUGGAUGUUGUCAACAAAGAAGGGACUCAUCGAGCUGCAACGAUACAUGCAAACUUGGAGUUUCGCGUAACACUGCAUAUGAAGGGCACAUAUUUCCUCUGCCUGAGAAAGAGAUUCGCGAAAGAACUUGUGUAUGCAAUAAUCCGCUCUCUUAUAUAUUAGUAAAGGCAACACGACACCUCUCUUACACCAGAAUACCAUCUUAGCAUUUGCUAAUGAGUAGCCUGUCCAAAAUCCAAUUGCAGAUGAGCAUUGGAACUAUUAGUAAGUCGCCUCACAUCACAAAGCUAAUGGAGCAAAGGGAACUAUUUCCAGGAAUCAAACGUAUUCCACUGGAGUCGGAGUGGGAGCUAGAGUUGUGUGAAUUAGAAUCAAAGUUGUCAAAAAAGAUGAACAUGCAUAUCUUUUGCUU